Molecule: ribosomal RNA, 677 nt
Filed under: fungal sp. FEX8
Lineage: Eukaryota; Fungi
Description: eukaryotic LSU rRNA
Rfam family: 5.8S ribosomal RNA (bases 308-461)
Source: RNAcentral
GGAAGUAAAAGUCGUAACAAGGUCUCCGUUGGUGAACCAGCGGAGGGAUCAUUACUGAGUUAUCAAAACUCCAAACCCUUUGUGAACCUUACCGUCGUUGCCUCGGCGUGAGCUACGGCUACCCUGUAACUACCCUGGAGCUACCCUAGAGUUACACUAUAGCUACCCUGCACUUACCCUGCAGCUACCCUAUAGCUACCCUGGAGCUACCCUGGAGCUACCCUGUAGUCGGCUUCGGCCCGCCGAAGGACCGUUAAACUCUUGUUUUUACCACUGUUUCUCUGAACUUUAAACUAAAAUAAGUUAAAACUUUCAACAACGGAUCUCUUGGUUCUGGCAUCGAUGAAGAACGCAGCGAAAUGCGAUAAGUAAUGUGAAUUGCAGAAUUCAGUGAAUCAUCGAAUCUUUGAACGCACAUUGCGCCCACUAGUAUUCUAGUGGGCAUGCCUAUUCGAGCGUCAUUUCGACCCCUAAGCCCCUGUUGCUUAGCGUUGGGAAUCUACGGCGUAGUUCCUCAAAGUUAGUGGCGGAGUUAGGGUACACUCUCAGCGUAGUAAUUUCUCUCGCUCGUGUGGUGGCCCUGGCUGCUAGCCGUUAAAACCCCUAUAUUUUCUAGUGGUUGACCUCGGAUUAGGUAGGAAUACCCGCUGAACUUAAGCAUAUCAAUAAGGCGGAGG